Long non-coding RNA from Exaiptasia diaphana, 944 nucleotides. RefSeq lists it as uncharacterized. The transcript is spliced from 2 exons. Lineage: Eukaryota; Metazoa; Cnidaria; Anthozoa; Actiniaria; Aiptasiidae. The record is from RefSeq and is a predicted model, not a curated record.
CAAACUCARCCAAUCAGAAAGAGGAAUCACAGCAGAGCGACUACAACGCAAUUCUCGACGYGUUACGUCAUGGUGAGCUCUGCAGCCAAGUUUUACAAGCAUAUCAAGUUCCUUGGCAAUUGUUCUCCAAACCUCCAAAAGGCGAGCUACAGUUUCGACUACUCAUUCAAUACCCCAGGCGAACUAGAGGACGUCUUGUCACACGGCCGACGUUGAGUAAGUCUACUUGGCAGACCGAGACUACGAGGUAAAUACAAGGUUUAAGCCAGCUUGCUUAAGACAUGGGAGUUACUUUGGUACGCCGAAACAGUAGCAAAAGAAAGAGCUUUCGCAGAGUGGAGAACAAAGACCGCAACACUMAAAAUGAAACUCAACARCCAACAGAAAGCCAGAUYAGCAACACAAACAAACGCAUUAGCAGAGAAAUUGGGAGCGUCUUGAGAAGAAUAGGAGAUGAAUUAAACAACAGUCAGCUUAACUUGAACACKAUAGUGUGAGAAGAAYCMGYUCUAYUUAGCUGAUCYACAACACAGCAAGRUGKAUCAAACAGAAUUAACAUUCUUGUUAAACACAACAAAUUUUCAAUCAUAUUGAAAAUGAAAACUUUGACAAAGACAUGCGUCCGAAACUUUGGAACCAAGAGGAUCACUAAUCAUUGAUAAAAUCAGCAUCACUUUGAAAUCAAAAGGGUUAAUCACCAAUUUUUAUAGAACACAUUCAUAAUGUUUUUAAUUUGCAUUCCCACAAUUAUGUAAAAAUAUUUAAUUGAUUCAACGUCUGAUUAAAACAAGUGAUUUUUUUACUUAAAUAUUGUAAAAACCUCUAUGCCACUAUAUACACAAAAAGGUGUGGCGGUCUGAUACYAGUAGAUAGCCCAAGAAGAGUCAAGAUGAAGCAUAUACCUUGGUGGGGUGGUCACAAUAUAAAACAAUAGGAAAACUUGC